UAGUGUAGAUAGAGUUUGAUCCUGGCUCAGAAUGAACGCUGGCGGCAUGCCUAACACAUGCAAGUCGAACGAGACCUUCGGGUCUAGUGGCGCACGGGUGCGUAACGCGUGGGAAUCUGCCCUUGGGUUCGGAAUAACAGUUAGAAAUGACUGCUAAUACCGAAUGAUGACGUAAGUCCAAAGAUUUAUCGCCCAAGGAUGAGCCCGCGUAGGAUUANCUAGUUGGUGAGGUAAAAGCUCACCAAGGCGACGAUCCUUAGCUGGUCUGAGAGGAUGAUCAGCCACACUGGGACUGAGACACGGCCCAGACUCCUACGGGAGGCAGCAGUGGGGAAUAUUGGACAAUGGGCGAAANCCUGAUCCAGCAAUGCCGCGNGAGUGAUGAAGGCCUUAGGGUUGUAAAGCUCUUUUACCCGGGAUGAUAAUGACAGUACCGGGAGAAUAAGCUCCGGCUAACUCCGUGCCAGCCCCGCGGUAA
This 478-nucleotide ribosomal RNA is filed under the name uncultured Sphingomonadaceae bacterium. RNAcentral describes it as "bacterial SSU rRNA". It matches the Rfam family "Bacterial small subunit ribosomal RNA", at positions 1 to 523 of the family's 1533-position model. The record is from RNAcentral. Lineage: Bacteria; Pseudomonadati; Pseudomonadota; Alphaproteobacteria; Sphingomonadales; Sphingomonadaceae.